UUUUUUUCUCGUGAAGUUCUCAACAUGGCGAAUAACAGCACAGGCUAAUGGCGAGCUAGCGUAUCUCCCUCUCUCACCUGCCGUUAAAGUCUGAAGAAUAGUAUGCAGCAGCCUUUGAAAAAAUCCCAGAAAGAGUUUACAUAAUGGAAACGCGGGGGAUUGAGCAGAUGUUCGACUUCCAGCGGUUACCAAAUGAUCGCUUCAUCCUGCUGUUGUUGUUGCUGUACUCCCCUGUCGGCGUGUGUUUGAUGCUACUGCGAAUAUUUAUUGGUGUCCAUGUGUUUCUAGUGAGUUGUGCACUACCUGACAGUAUUGUCAGAAGGUUCAUAGUGAGAAUAAUGUGUUCAGUGCUGGGUCUGCAUGUCCGGCAGAAUAGCCCACACUUGCAGGACAAAACCUCCCGACUUUACAUCUGCAAUCACGUUACACAUUUCGACCACAAUAUUAUCAACCUUCUGACCUCCUGUAACACGCCACUGCUGGAGAGCCCUGUGGGGUUCUUGUGCUGGGCGAGGGGUUUUAUGGAGCUGGGUCAGGGUGUACAGAGCAGGACGGAGCUGAUGGAGACCCUCCGCAGGUAUUGCUCAUCUCCUGCCGCUUUACCCCUACUACUCUUUCCAGAGGAGGACACCACCAAUGGCCGAACCGGUCUCCUCAAGUUCAGCUCUUGGCCUUUCUCUGUGUCUGACGCCAUCCAGCCUGUGGCAUUGCUGGUGAAGAGGCCUUUCAUAGCUGUGAACACACCAGCAUCCUCAUGGCUGACAGAGCUGCUAUGGACCUUUUUUGUACCAUUCACAGUGUACCAUGUAAGAUGGCUUCCACCAUUGUCUAAAGAAGAUGGUGAAUCCCAUCAAGAAUUUGCCAGCAAAGUACAAGAGCUGCUGGCCACCGAGCUGGGUGUGAUGUCCACACAGAUCACUAAAGCAGACAAAGCUGAGCACAUCAAAAGGAAAAGACACACUGCCGCUCAGACUGCACAUUCAAGUAAGAACGGAUUCAAUGAUUUGGGUGCCAGACCUCGCACAGUGGCACAGGGUUUCCUGGGCACAAAUGCAGGAGCUGAAGACUCACAAGUAGCAUGUAUGGCGCAGCAGGUGAAAGAGGUGCUGCCUGACGUCCCGUUAUCGGUCAUCACCAGAGAUCUGUUGCAGACCAACUGUGUGGACACAACCAUAACCAACCUGCUGGAGCAUACUGACCAGUUCAGCUUGGAGGCGGCUGCAGGCACACCUUCAGGUUCAGCCAAACAAACAACUUCUUCCACCCUGUCUGUAACAGCAUCCACACCUAAUUUAAAGCCAGCUGCCAAAUCUUUUGGGAGAACACCCAUAGACAGACACAUGUCUCUACAGGAGAGAAAAGAAGCCUUAUACGAAUAUGCAAGAAGACGAUACAUUGAAAAACAUGGACUGAACAAAGUGGAUGAUCUAUGACCGUGGACAAAGACUCACCUGAGGAAUUGUUUAGGAAAGACAGCUGCUUAACACAAAAUCCGCAUAGACAAAGAAGAAAUUAUAGAGUUGACCCAGAAUGAAACAACAUUUGUGUUCACCAAACAUGCCGAGAGAAGGAUGGAUUUUUCCUUUCUUGUUUUUGUUUCUUUGUAAAUCUUCUUGCAUGGCAAUCAUGCAUGUCUUUUUAUUAUUUCUCUCUGCAACAGAAAACAAUUAUUUUGGUAAACAAUUUGUAUUAAGACCCAGUGACCUUGGCACACUUCAUAUUAUUUUUAUAAGGUCCUUGGGUAGAGAAUAGGGGAUCAGAAACGUAUGAAGGUGAGCUGAAACACAACUUGAGGUACGUUAUGUUGUCAAGGAUACAUGUUGAUGCAAUAUCAGCUUUUAAAUACAUUAAAAAUCAUAUAGAAAUGCAAA
Molecule: RNA transcript, 1871 nt
Organism: Sinocyclocheilus rhinocerous
Lineage: Eukaryota; Metazoa; Chordata; Actinopteri; Cypriniformes; Cyprinidae
Gene: aup1
Gene name: AUP1 lipid droplet regulating VLDL assembly factor
Exons: 13
Source: RefSeq, a predicted model, not a curated record